This is a long non-coding RNA of Apis cerana (Asiatic honeybee), 1831 nucleotides long. RefSeq lists it as uncharacterized. Lineage: Eukaryota; Metazoa; Arthropoda; Insecta; Hymenoptera; Apidae. The record is from RefSeq and is a predicted model, not a curated record.
UUUUAUUCGUAGGACACGAUUUUAUGCACGAAAAUUAUAUAUGUAUAUCUAUAUAUAUUCGGUUCUUCGGAAAAUAAUUUCGUUUCUUCGCACGAGUGUCGCUAGUCGAACGUUUAUGCAGCCAACUUCGUUCCAAAUCGUGUUGCUCGGAAAGUAAUUUCGUUUUUUCACACGAGCGGCGCUAGUCGAACGUUUAUCCAGCCAACUUCGUUCCAAAUCGUGUUGCUCGGAAAGUAAUUUCGUUUCUUCGCACGAGUGUCGCUAGUCGAACGUUUAUGCAGCCAACUUCAUUAUAAACCAUGUUGCUCGGAAAGUAAUUUCGUUUUUUCACGCGAGUGUCGCUAGUCGAACGUUUAUCCAGCCAACUUCGUUCUAAACUGCGUUGUUAUCGUAUAUUUUGAGAGUUAGCGGUUCGUGGUUUAUUUAUAAAAAAAAUUCGUUCGAUUCUGUGCGGUUACGUUCUUCGUUAAUAAAGAUGCGGGAUCAUUUUCGGCAUAUUUUACAUUUUUAUCACUGAAAACAGUGAAAAUGCUGUUCAAGCAGAAAGAUGUAUUAACAAUACGCCAGUGUCAAAAAUUGAUUUUCAAAAUUUCGUCCCGACAAUUUCAACGUUAAAAAUGCGCUACGUUGAAAACAUCGAUCGAAGUAAACCGGCGAACAAUGACUCGAGAUUGCUAGGAGAUUGUGAAAUUCCAUUGUUGAUGAUCAUGCGAAACGACUUGGUGUUUCACUGUCGCGAAAAAAACGAACUUAACCUCUCGUUCGAGGCUCUUUAUUAAUCGAUCCACAAUUUCAUCGGCCAUUUUUCUCGACGCGUCCGUUCGUCAAAAUCGCGGUCAAACUUCAUUGACCAUCGCCAUCGAAUUACCGAAAGGAACGAUCGACUUGAUGAUUAAUUUCCGCUCGGUUGGCGGUUUCUAACACGCGCAUGCAAUUUCCGCGCGUGGCAUGGAAAGUCGAGAAAUAUCUCCUUCGUGAAAUUCGCCUAAAAGCCCUGCUGCCGCAAUACCCGCCGACAUCUUAGAUUGAUUAAGCGGCACCCGGCAAUCUUGCCCCCCUGCUAAACGUCUCGCAUCUGUCACCGAGCUUUUCCACCUUCGAAACCUUCGAGUUUCCAACACGCAUGCACUUACACGGCCAACGUUCCGGGGAGAGGCCGUUCCACUAUCCACGCUCGCGCAUCCAAAGAAAAUUUUCUCUCGCGUCGCGCGAAAUUGCGAGAUGAUUGCGCGCAUUACGCGAUCCUAUUACCGAGCUUUCGCUAUUUCGUGAAAGCCGGCAAAUAUGUAGAGGAUGAAGUUAUCGGAGGACGCGUUAAUUUACGUACGAUUCUUUUUUUUUUUUUUUUUAGAGUUUUGUUCACUAAUGGAAAAAUGCUUCAAGGAAGGUAUGCGAAUCUGAUUGGAAUUCAAUUUGGAAAGAAAUUAUUUUUGCUUCUGUCGUGUCAUAUUUAUCGCAUAUAUUAAUAUAAAAUAUAUUAAUACACAAUCUAUACGUGAACCUCGAUGCAUCAGCGUAGAAUCGAAAGAAUUCUAAUGUAUCGAUAUAAUGCAAAAAUUAUCACGAUACUAAUCCAAAACGAUGAUCUAUACUCGAUAUGAUAUAAAAAUUUAUUUCUCAACGAUAUCUGCAAUUACGAUUUCUUUUGUACUGCUAUGUAGCGUGUGAUGUCGACAAAGCGUCUGAAGUGGAGAUAGGCUCUUCUUGUCUCUGUACUUGUCCCGCGAGACUUUUUUCCACCAAGUGAACUGUACCGUUGGAUGUAUUUUAGAGAGUAUUUAUAUUUGAGGUUUUAAAGAGGUUGUGGAUUGUAGAAAUCUGAAAGAGAAAA